This 440-nucleotide ribosomal RNA is filed under the name uncultured bacterium. RNAcentral's name for it is "partial 16S ribosomal RNA". It matches the Rfam family "Bacterial small subunit ribosomal RNA", at positions 338 to 795 of the family's 1533-position model. The record is from RNAcentral.
CCUACGGGAGGCAGCAGUGGGGAAUAUUGCACAAUGGGGGAAACCCUGAUGCAGCGACGCCGCGUGAGUGAAGAAGUAUUUUGGUAUGUAAAGCUCUAUCAGCAGGGAAGAAAAUGACGGUACCUGAUUAAGAAGCCCCGGCUAACUACGUGCCAGCAGCCGCGGUCAUACGUAGGGGGCAAGCGUUAUCCGGAUUUACUGGGUGUAAAGGGAGCGUAGACGGCAGCGCAAGUCUGAAGUGAAAUGCCGGGGCUUAACCCCGGAACUGCUUUGGAAACUGUGCAGCUAGAGUGCAGGAGAGGUAAGUGGAAUUCCUAGUGUAGCGGUGAAAUGCGUAGAUAUUAGGAGGAACACCAGUGGCGAAGGCGGCUUACUGGACUGUAACUGACGUUGAGGCUCGAAAGCGUGGGGAGCAAACAGGAUUAGAUACCCUGGUAGUC